GUCGGUGUGGCGGAAUGGCAGACGCACCAGCUUGAGGAGCUGGCGCCCAUCACAGGGUGUGCAGGUUCGACUCCUGUCAUCGACACCA
Molecule: transfer RNA, 88 nt
Filed under: Mycobacteroides abscessus
Lineage: Bacteria; Bacillati; Actinomycetota; Actinomycetes; Mycobacteriales; Mycobacteriaceae
Also listed under: 2 other names
Description: tRNA-Leu(gag)
Rfam family: tRNA
About the family: Transfer RNA (tRNA) molecules are approximately 80 nucleotides in length.
Source: RNAcentral